Ictalurus punctatus (channel catfish) is the source of this 2462-nucleotide long non-coding RNA. RefSeq lists it as uncharacterized. The transcript is spliced from 4 exons. Lineage: Eukaryota; Metazoa; Chordata; Actinopteri; Siluriformes; Ictaluridae. The record is from RefSeq and is a predicted model, not a curated record.
CACACACACACACACACACACACACACAGAAGGCAAGGGACAAAAGAUGUAUGGAAACAACACUGGGAAAAAGAAUGAGUAAAAAUGAACAAGUCACAGUUAGAAGUAGAUAAUCUAAAACACUCACCCAUGUUCAAAUUAAUGGAAAAAUAUCCAAAGGUGCAGCAACAGAGAUCCUCUUUGUCCAACGGCCGGAAGCCAAGUGAUGAACAAAACGGGAAGUACGGUUUUAAAAAACCCAAACCGGGCCAGGUCGAAUUUAAGGGGAUUGGGAAAAGACUGAAAUAGGAACCUAAGGGGUUAGGGAAAUGAAUAAAACAUGAUUAUAAGGGUUGCUGAAAAAGAGUAAUGAUGUAAUAUAAGGGUUGUCAGAACCUGUACAAAUAUGGACAUAAGGGGAACAGGAGGCAAGAAUAGCUAAACAUAUUGGUAUUUGGAAAUAGAACAAGGGGCGGAGGCUCAUAGGACAAUUGUAUAAAAGGGGAGCCCCGCUCCAGGCUAGUCAGAUCACUCUUUGGGAUAUCGCAAACGGUUUGGAUCUCAUGUGUUUGGGCUAAAUAAAAUUGGACCUUUGCUUUUCCUCACUCACUGAUUCUGUGUGGUAUUUCUCGAAACCUGAAUGAAGACUCAACUGAACUAGCAAGGAAUGGUAUACAGAUUAUAAAUCCCUACUUCAUCCCAGAAGUGAUGCACAUGGAGACUAGUGAACUGUCACAGGAGUCUGACGGACAGGAUGGAGGGACUACAGAUGAGUCUGUGGACAGUCUACACUGUCGAACUCUGAAGCCAUGGAGAGGAGGCUGUGCGCCCAGAUCUGGUCAUGCCGGUGAGAGGUCCAGAGAAGAUGCAGGGAGGCUGACACAGGAAGCAAUGGGGAGAUUGAUGUAGAGACUUUCUUAGGUUUUGAGGCAGUACAACGUCAAUCUCUCAGAGGAAGACAUCUUUCAUCCUACAUCUUUCUUUGAUAAGAACAUCUCAGGAUGUAUUUCAUACAAUGAUUUUCUGAGCAUUUUACAAAAUAUAUGCAGAGCCAUCUUGUAUUGUAUUGUAAUAGUACAACAUAGUGUGCAGGGGUGGACAAGUCAGUAGACAAGAACAUGUUUUUAUUGUUUUAUUUGUAGUUGGCUCAAUAGGCUCAGUAGGCUAACAGUCACUGUAUUUUUUUCUUCUCUAGUGUAACAACCAGAGAAAGAAAGAAAAAGAAAAAAACCUGCCUCCUAUUGGCUUUUACAAAACAAGCAUUCACUUUUUUACUGUAGUAUGUGUAACUUGUUCUGAUCCCACCGCCUGCUGCACUACUCACAGCCGGUUUUACUAUUCAUAUUAUUUGACAUGUGACCUUUUGACACAUAAUCUUUUCAGAAUCAGGAACACACAGGCAUAUGGAAACACUGACGAAUCCAAGAGAAAAUAAAGUGCAGCGCACAGUGAUCAUGUAACUCCAAACACAGCACACAGUCACCUUAAUACUAUUGUGGCAUCGGUGAGCAAUAGACUUGAUCAGGAAGCAUUGUUAAAACAAUGCACUGGCUUAUAGAACAAAUGCAGGCUUGGUAAUUACAAAUCCCAUUACAUGUCGUAAAAUUGCUAGACAUAACAAAAACUAGAUAAAGUUCCAGUAUAAAACAUAUAUAAUAAACAAACAGCACAGUACUAUGUUAACAAGUAAGACUUAAUGUAACAGAGCGACAUUAACAUUAAACUGCUAACAUUAGAGAUGCCCCAGAAAAUGCAUAUUAAGACUUGCUAAUGGCAGCGAGGUUACAAUAUCUUAUAUGUACAAUACAAUAUCUACAAUAUCUCUUAUGUGUGAUAAUAUCAGCUGUGCUACCUCAGACACUUCUUUAGAAAAGGAUAAUGACUGUUGCAAAGAUAUAUGCUACGCAGGAGUAUAUUUUAUAUACGUGUUUGUGUCUGUAUUAAAGCACAUAACUAGGAAUUAAUAAGUCAGCAUGUGCUAUUGCAUUAUUUUAGCCUAGUCAGUAAUGGGAAAUGAACACAUGUUACUGGGCAAGCAUAUUGAAGCUUUCACUUAGCCAGUGGGCUAUACAAUGAAUUUGUCCACACUUGGUGUGUUCUAUUAGUUUAUUUAUUUAUUUAUUAUUAAUACAAAACAAUUACUGUGCAAUUAUCAUAUUACUCUUCCUCAUUUAAAACUUUUGGUCUAAACAUCUAUACAUUUCUGUUAUUUCCCACUUGUGAAUUUCAUAAUUUCUGAAGCUCAGGUAACUUUCAGGGUUGUUUAGGUGGCAUUACUGUUCAUUUAAUAAAAUAUAACAAAACAGUCUGUGUUAGUAGUGCUCAUAGUUACAGUGAACCCUGUCUGAGGUACAGCUUGGCUCAGGCUGAAUGAGGAAUUAUACAGGCCGGGUCACAGAGUUCAGUAGUGAUUAUUCUAUAAAACAGGUGAAAGUAAUAAUGGACUCUUAUCAUUUACACUAGUAAGUGUGUAAGGAUCACAU